GACGAACGCUGGCGGCGUGCUUAACACAUGCAAGUCGAACGGUAAGGCCCUUCGGGGUACACGAGUGGCGAACGGGUGAGCAACACGUGGGUGAUCUGCCCUGCACUUCGGGAUAAGCCUGGGAAACUGGGUCUAAUACCGGAUAGGACCACUGCCUGCAUGGGUGGUGGUGGAAAGCUUUUGCGGUGUGGGAUGGGCCCGCGGCCUAUCAGCUUGCUGGUGGGGUGAUGGCCUACCAAGGCGACGACGGGUAGCCGGCCUGAGAGGGUGACCGGCCACACUGGGACUGAGAUACGGCACAGACUCCUACGGGAGGCAGCAGUGGGGAAUAUUGCACAAUGGGCGCAAGCCUGAUGCAGCGACGCCGCGUGAGGGAUGACGGCCUUCGGGUUGUAAACCUCUUUCAGCACCGACGAAGCGCAAGUGACGGUAGGUGCAGAAGAAGGACCGGCCAACUACGUGCCAGCAGCCGCAGUAA
RNAcentral lists this ribosomal RNA (478 nucleotides) under uncultured bacterium. RNAcentral's name for it is "partial 16S ribosomal RNA". It matches the Rfam family "Bacterial small subunit ribosomal RNA", at positions 28 to 523 of the family's 1533-position model. The record is from RNAcentral.